Molecule: ribosomal RNA, 299 nt
Filed under: uncultured bacterium
Lineage: Bacteria
Description: partial 16S ribosomal RNA
Rfam family: Bacterial small subunit ribosomal RNA
Source: RNAcentral
UGGUGCCUACGGGACGCAGCAGUGAGGAAUAUUGGUCAAUGGCCGAGAGGCUGAACCAGCCACGUCGCGUGAGGGAUGACGGCCCUACGGGUUGUAACCCUCUUUUGCCGGGGAGCAAAGAGCGGGACGCGUCCCGCCUCGAGAGUACCCGGAGAAAAAGCAUCGGCUAACUCCGUGCCAGCAGCCGCGGUAAUACGGAGGAUGCGAGCGUUAUCCGGAUUUAUUGGGUUUAAAGGGUGCGCAGGCGGAAGCGCAAGUCAGCGGUAAAAUUGAGAGGCUCAACCUCUUCCCGCCGUUGA